This is a non-coding RNA of Phthorimaea operculella (potato tuberworm), 74 nucleotides long. The record is from the annotation of a GenBank genome assembly. NCBI's taxonomy places the organism in Eukaryota, Metazoa, Arthropoda, Insecta, Lepidoptera, Gelechiidae.
GCAUUGAUAGCUCAGUGCGGCAGAGCGGUGAGGAGUUGGCUCAUGCGGCCCGGGUUCGAGUCCCGGUCGAUUUA